GACGAACGCUGGCGGCGUGCUUAACACAUGCAAGUCGAACGGAAAGGCCCUGCUUUUGUGGGGUGCUCGAGUGGCGAACGGGUGAGUAACACGUGAGUAACCUGCCCUUGACUUUGGGAUAACUUCAGGAAACUGGGGCUAAUACCGGAUAGGAGCUCCUGCUGCAUGGUGGGGGUUGGAAAGUUUCGGCGGUUGGGGAUGGACUCGCGGCUUAUCAGCUUGUUGGUGGGGUAGUGGCUUAUCAAGGCUUUGACGGGUAGCCGGCCUGAGAGGGUGACCGGCCACAUUGGGACUGAGAUACGGCCCAGACUCCUACGGGAGGCAGCAGUGGGGAAUAUUGCACAAUGGGCGGAAGCCUGAUGCAGCAACGCCGCGUGCGGGAUGGCGGCCUUCGGGUUGUAAACCGCUUUCGCCUGUGACGAAGCGUGAGUGACGGUAAUGGGUAAAGAAGCACCGGCUAACUACGUG
This 468-nucleotide ribosomal RNA is filed under the name uncultured bacterium. RNAcentral describes it as "partial 16S ribosomal RNA". It matches the Rfam family "Bacterial small subunit ribosomal RNA", at positions 28 to 507 of the family's 1533-position model. The record is from RNAcentral.